This is a long non-coding RNA of Raphanus sativus (radish), 2875 nucleotides long. RefSeq lists it as uncharacterized. The record is from RefSeq and is a predicted model, not a curated record. Lineage: Eukaryota; Viridiplantae; Streptophyta; Magnoliopsida; Brassicales; Brassicaceae. The transcript has 2 exons.
CACACUUGAAUAGAAAAAUAAAAAUGUUCAACAAGAAAGAAAAGACCGAAACUUACAUAGAAAAUUAGUUGCCUGAUAAGUGCUCAUCUUCAAGUUGUCCCGUCCCAUCCCGUCCCGUACCGCACGGGCUCAUCUUCAAGCAAGUCAGGUACGCGCGGACCGCAGUCCUCAAAAUGGCCGACCAAACCCGUCCUGAAAAAAUCUUUGUUACCUAGUCGCUUUAAUGGAAAACCAAGAAUCAGUAGAAGAAGACAAUAAGACAAAAAGACAUAUGUUCUCCAUUAAUAAGGUCUUUGCGCAUUGCGCAGCUGCGAAAGAACAAAAGUGAGUUGUGUUUGUUGAAUUUUCAUAGGUGCAUAUCAAAGACGAACGGAAAACAGGUAUUUCAUACUUUAAUAAGUAUAAUAUAUUUUUUUACAAAACCACUAGAACUCAAAUCGUCAUCAGCGGAGUUCAAACCAUCAUCGCUGGAGUUCGAAUAGUAAUUGUCGGAGCUCGAAUUGUUAUCACCGUAACUCCCUUCAUUUUUUCAGGGGAAGUUACACGAAUCACCUUCUUUUCACUCGCUCUCUUAUAUUGUUUUCAGAUAAAACAUGAAAUGAAGAAAAAAAUGCGGGUCCAUGUAAUCCCGCAUGGCCCGCUUCGUCCCAUUUCGUAAAAGACCCAGUCCCACAAUAACCCGUCCCGCGAGGUCCGCUAAUUUGCGGUCUUAGAAAAUCUCGGCCCAAUCUCAUCCCACAAUAUUCUUUUACCGACCAGACCCGUGGUCCAGGUCCACUAUUGCCAUCUCUAAGUGCAAGAUACAACACAAUAAUAAAAUAAAACGUAACUUAAUGUAAAUCAAUGGAUAUAAAUAAACACUUUCUACUUUAUUAGAAAUCACUUAAAUAAUAUUUGUAAGAUUUGUUUAAUUAGCUUUACUUGAUUCUUAUAACACCCUAACAAUCAAUAAUGAAAGAUUUCUAAGAUAUCCAACUUAUGUUUCUUCGUCGCUUGCUACAUCAACAUCUAACUCAAGAUGAUCACAAGAACACUUUCAACAGAUUUUUUACUUUUCUUUUAUAAAAUCAGCUUUAACUGUUUUCUUUGGUCAACACUUUUAUAAAAUUUUCUUCUAAACACCACUUAAAAUGAUACGGAAAGCUGUCUUCUCGAUUUUUCAUGGACCUCUCGGUUACUUUAUAGUGAUCUAUAAGUUCCCAAAAAUCCAAUGAUCUUCAAAGAGAUUCAUGAACAAUUUUCACAUUUCCUCCAUAUCAUUUUAAGUGGUGUUUAGGGGAAAAUUUUCUGUUUCAAAAUAAUUGAGUUUUCAUUGUUUUAGAUAAAAUUUAAUAUCAUUUGAACUUUGUGACCAAUUACAAAAUAUUGAAUCUUUUUUUUAUUGCUUGAAUUAGUUUCGUUAAUGAUAGUUUUAUGUAACCAACAUAAAUUGUAUAGAAAUUUGUAUUUUCUUAAUCUAUGUGUAAAAACCUUAAAAACCACUUAAAAUGAUACAGAGGAAGUAUAUACAGUUUUUUUUUUGGAAUUGUACUAUUUUUUGUUUCAAGGGAUAAACUUUCCCUUCAAGUUUAUAUUUUUACCCAUGAUCUCUUAAGCGGUAACUUUCUUCUCGAUUUUACCCUAAUCCAGCACAGCAUAGUGCAUCCAUAUGGUUCCCCCACUAUACACGCUUACUAGAACACUGUGACACUAACUACGUCAGCGGCCGCUGACAUCGACAACUUCAUCAAAGCAUAAACUUUCUUUUUUCAAGUUUAUCUUUCUCCAAUUCGACAUCUUGCAUCCAUGUGGUCUCUCCACUCUGAAUAUGCCUUAUGGGAUUUGAAAUUUUAAUUUUGUUUUAUUUGAACAACUAUUGAAAACUUGUUUUUCUCUGUGUAAUACUAGUAUUUAUAUGAAUACUAGGUAAGAUUAGUAUUGGAUCUGGAUUCGGAAGAUUAUACGAGUCUCUCUCUAUUCUCUCUGACAUCUCACUAGAAACUUCACAAAACAAUAUCCGUGUUCGGUGACCGGUGGUUAUCACCGCCGGUUACCAUUUUCUUUUUGUUUUUUUGAUGUAUAUACUUCGCUUGGCGAAUCCUUUCUUUCGCGUUGGCGAUUUGGAUUAAAAUUUCGCAAGGCGACUUUUGUUGUGUUUUUCAAUCUUCAGUCGAGUUGGUGUUCAAGAGUUUUUCAUCUUCUGCUCUCGAUUGAGUUUGAAAUGAAUAAAGUUUUAAAUCAAAGUCUUUCACUCAGUUUUUAUUUUCAUCCCGUUCAAUUAUAUGUCAGAUGUUUUUCUUCACCGUUCACUUGAAUCUCUUUCUUAAAAGUAUCAGUCUCUGCUUUCUUAAAGCCUUUAGUGGCUGUUAUGGCAGAGCAUCUUGGAUGAAUGAAGAUCAAGUUUGAUGGAUCUAUUGAGUUUUAUUUGAAGCGGAUUCAGAAGAGUUGGCGCCUUCGUAGCGGUCCGACAAAGAGUCUACCUUCAACCAGACUCAUGCUUCCACUGAUGUACUUCCCGGUGAACCAAAACCUCUCUGCCUAUGUAGUCACGGCUUUAGUGAAAGGCAAUCUCAUCCAAGUGGUUUGAAUCCGGAAGAUCUUGCCUUUGCUUAAUGAUUUGGAUUCUCUUUCAUCUGGCGGAGGAGUAGACGGCGAGAUCUCCGAUGAAGAAACGGUGGCUCAUCUCAACAAUUUCCAAGAAUGACACGUUGCCUCUACGUUGAAUAAGAAGAUCAAGACACGUGUUUUUUGUGUUUAUCUAAACUUGUUGAGUAAUUUUGGGCUUCUGUAUUGGGUUUAAUGAGUGCAAAUCACUUGUAAACUUUGGGCUUAUAGCCAUUUAAUAUUAUAAAGUUGACAAAAAAAAAAAAAGAAGGUAAGAUUAGUAUUGCUAAAA